Molecule: ribosomal RNA, 459 nt
Filed under: uncultured bacterium
Lineage: Bacteria
Description: partial 16S ribosomal RNA
Rfam family: Bacterial small subunit ribosomal RNA
Source: RNAcentral
CCUACGGGAGGCAGCAGUGAGGAAUAUUGGUCAAUGGCCGCAAGCCUGACCCAGCCAUGCCGCGUGAAGGUAAGUGCCCUUUGGGCUGUAAACUUCUUUUGUGCGGGAGCAGUAAUAGUCACGUGUGGCCAGACGAGAGUACGCUAAGUAGGAGCCCGCGCUAACUACGUUCCGGCGGCCGCGGUAAUACGUAGGGGGCAAGCGUUAUCCGGAUUUUGUGGGUGUAAGGGGGGGGCAGACGGGGAUGCAAGCCAGGGGUGAAAGCCCGGGGCCCAACCGCAGGACUGCUUUUGGAACUGGGUGGCUGGAGUGCAGGAGGGGCAGGCGGAAUUCCUGGUGUAGCGGUGAAAUGCGUAGAUAUGAGGAGGAACACCGGUGGCGAAGGCGGACUGCUGGACUGCAACUGACGUUGAGGCGCGAAAGCGUGGGGAGCAAACAGGAUUAGAUACCCCAGUAGUC